GAAAAGGUGAAAGUUAGAACAAAAGAGCGAAAAAUGACCAAAGUGAAAGUUUAGGGACCAAGUUACAAAUAAUCUAAAGGUGAGACAGGCGAUGGAAUGAUGAUUUGAGAAAGUUAGGAGUCAAUGGGGGUGCAAUUAGAAGUCCAAAGAAGUGAAAUAUGACCAUAACAUAUUCACAAAUCAAAUUCCAACCGCAUGAGGAUUUUUUAGAUUUUUGGCUGGAGAUUGCGAUCAACUUUUGACCUAGUAAACUUUUGAAUUUGGAAGAGCUAUUCUAGAAAAAUUGUAGCCCUUUGUGUUAUCUUUACAACGCACUUUGAAUUGCCUUAAUCGAAUAUCGGGAGAGAAAGUUAUGGCCAAAAUAUUGAAAGCAGUAGCAUAGAAUAAAUUCUGGCUGAAAAUUUAGUUUCCUUAAUUCGUCCAACCUGUUAUGGAAUCACGUUUUGGCACUCGCUUUUAACCCUAUUCCGCCCUGAAAUUUUUAUUAUUCAUCUCCUAUCAAUUUUUUCUCAAGUUUGGUUCAUGAAAUCCAUGAAGAACUAAAUUCCUAGGUGAAGCUAUGAAGGAACUCAUUGGAUUUCGCUACUUCACAUCAAUUAUUCAUGCAAACUGGUAAUUUUAUUUUCAAACACUUCUAGAUCUAGAUUUUCUUUCAUGAAAUUGCUUGGAAUUGAUUUAACUUUUACUAUAUUCUUU
RNAcentral lists this long non-coding RNA (696 nucleotides) under Olea europaea subsp. europaea. Lineage: Eukaryota; Viridiplantae; Streptophyta; Magnoliopsida; Lamiales; Oleaceae. The record is from RNAcentral.